This 253-nucleotide ribosomal RNA is filed under the name uncultured bacterium. RNAcentral describes it as "partial 16S ribosomal RNA". It matches the Rfam family "Bacterial small subunit ribosomal RNA", at positions 524 to 776 of the family's 1533-position model. The record is from RNAcentral.
GACAGAGGGUGCAAACGUUGUUCGGAUUUACUGGGCGUAAAGCGCGUGUAGGCGGCUUCGUAAGUUGGAUGUGAAAUCCCACGGCUCAACCGUGGACGUGCAUCCAAAACUACGUCGCUGGAGUCUCGGAGAGGAAGGUGGAAUGCUUGGUGUAGAGGUGAAAUUCGUAGAUAUGGGGAGGAACACCGGUGGCGAAGGCGGCCAUCUGGACGGCUAUUGACGCUGAGACGCGAAAGCAUGGGGAGCAAACAGG